CCAGACUCCUACGGGAGGCAGCAGCUAAGAAUCUUCCGCAAUGGACGAAAGUCUGACGGAGCGACGCCGUGUGAAUGAAGAAGGCCGAAAGGUUGUAAAAUUCUUUUGCAGAUGAAGAAUAAGAAGAAGAGGGAAUGCUUCUUUGAUGACGGUAGUCAUGCGAAUAAGCCCCGGCUAAUUACGUGCCAGCAGCCGCGGUAACACGUAAGGGGCGAGCGUUGUUCGGAAUUAUUGGGCGUAAAGGGUAUGUAGGCGGUUAGGUAAGCCUGGUGUGAAAUCUACGAGCUCAACUCGUAAACUGCAUUGGGUACUGCUUGACUUGAAUCACGGAGGGGAAACCGGAAUUCCAAGUGUAGGGGUGGAAUCUGUAGAUAUUUGGAAGAACACCGGUGGCGAAGGCGGGUUUCUGGCCGAUGAUUGACGCUGAUAUACGAAGGUGCGGGGAGCAAACAGGAUUAGAUACCCUGGUAGUCCGCACAGUAAACGAUGUACACUAGGUGUCGGGGCAAGAGCUUCGGUGCCGACGCAAACGCAUUAAGUGUACCGCCUGGGAAGUAUGCCCGCAAGGGUGAAACUCAAAGGAAUUGACGGGGGCCCGCACAAGAAGGGCGAA
RNAcentral lists this ribosomal RNA (613 nucleotides) under uncultured bacterium. RNAcentral's name for it is "bacterial SSU rRNA". It matches the Rfam family "Bacterial small subunit ribosomal RNA", at positions 331 to 938 of the family's 1533-position model. The record is from RNAcentral.